GAUGAAGAACGCAGCGAAAUGCGAUAAGUAAUGUGAAUUGCAGAAUUCAGUGAAUCAUCGAAUCUUUGAACGCACAUUGCGCCCCUUGGUAUUCCGAGGGGCAUUCCUGUUCGAGCGUCAUUAUAACCCCUCAAGCUCAGCUUGGUGUUGGGGCCUGCUGCACUGGCAGCCCUUAAAAUCAGUGGCGGCGCCAUCUGGCUCUAAGCGUAGUAAUUCUUCUCGCUAUGGAGUCCUGGUGGAUGCUUGCCAUCAACCCCCAAUUUUUCUAUGGUUGACCUCGGAUCAGGUAGGGAUACCCGCUGAACUUAAGCAUAUCAAUAAGCGGAGGA
RNAcentral lists this unclassified non-coding RNA (329 nucleotides) under soil metagenome. RNAcentral describes it as "partial contains 5.8S ribosomal RNA, internal transcribed spacer 2, and large subunit ribosomal RNA". The stretch from base 1 to 120 matches the Rfam family "5.8S ribosomal RNA", at positions 35 to 154 of the family's 154-position model. The record is from RNAcentral.